GAUUAACGCUGGCGGCGCACAUAAGACAUGCAAGUCGAACGGACUUAAUCGAUUCUUUUAGAUUCGAAGCGGUUAGUGGCGGACUGGUGAGUAACACGUAAGCAACCUGCCUAUUAGAGGGGAAUAACAGUGAGAAAUCAUUGCUAAUACCGCAUAAGCUAGAGACACCGCAUGGAGUAGCUAGAAAAGGAGAAAUCCGCUAAUAGAUGGGCUUGCGUCCGAUUAGCCAGUUGGUGGGGUAACGGCCUACCAAAGCGACGAUCGGUAGCCGAGCUGAGAGGCUCAACGGCCACAUUGGGACUGAGAUACGGCCCAGACUCCUACGGGAGGCAGCAGUCGGGAAUAUUGCGCAAUGGAGGGAACCCUGACGCAGUGACGCCGCGUAUAGGAAGAAGGUCUUCGGAUUGUAAACUCCUGUUGUUGGGGAAAAGAAGGAUGGUACCCAACAAGGAAGUGACGGCUAACUACGUGCCAGCAGCCGCGGUAAAACGUAGGUCACGAGCGUUGUCCGGAAUUACUGGGUGUAAAGGGAGCGCAGGCGGGUAUGCAAGUUGGGAGUGAAAUACAUGGGCUCAACCCAUGAACUGCUCUCAAAACUGUGUAUCUUGAGUAGUGCAGAGGUAGGCGGAAUUCCCGGUGUAGCGGUGGAAUGCGUAGAUAUCGGGAGGAACACCAGUGGCGAAGGCGGCCUACUGGGCACCAACUGACGCUGAGGCUCGAAAGUGUGGGUAGCAAACAGGAUUAGAUACCCUGGUAGUCCACACCGUAAACGAUGAUUACUAGGUGUUGGAGGAUAGACCCCUUCAGUGCCGCAGUUAACACAAUAAGUAAUCCACCUGGGGAGUACGACCGCAAGGUUGAAACUCAAAGGAAUUGACGGGGGCCCGCACAAGCAGUGGAGUAUGUGGUUUAAUUCGACGCAACGCGAAGAACCUUACCAAGUCUUGACAUCCUCUGACGAUGCUGGAAACAGUAUUUUCCUUCGGGACAGAGAGACAGGUGGUGCAUGGUUGUCGUCAGCUCGUGUCGUGAGAUGUUGGGUUAAGUCCCGCAACGAGCGCAACCCUUAUGGAUAGUUACUACGCAAGAGGACUCUAUUCAGACUGCCGUUGACAAAACGGAGGAAGGUGGGGAUGACGUCAAAUCAUCAUGCCCUUUAUGACUUGGGCUACACACGUACUACAAUGGCGUUCAACAAAGAGAAGCGAAAUCGCGAGAUGGAGCAAAACUCAAAAACAACGUCCCAGUUCAGAUUGCAGGCUGCAACUCGCCUGCAUGAAGUCGGAAUUGCUAGUAAUCGCAGAUCAGCAUGCUGCGGUGAAUACGUUCCCGGGCCUUGUACACACCGCCCGUCACACCAUGAGAGCCGGGGGGACCCGAAGUCGGCAGUCUAACCGCAAGGAGGACGCCGCCGAAGGUAAAACUGGUGAUUGGGG
RNAcentral lists this ribosomal RNA (1436 nucleotides) under uncultured bacterium. RNAcentral's name for it is "16S ribosomal RNA". It matches the Rfam family "Bacterial small subunit ribosomal RNA". The record is from RNAcentral.